CCACCUACCUCUCCCACACUCUAGAAAAGUAGUUUCAAAUGCAGUUCUGUAGUUAAGCUACAGGAUUUCACAUCUGACUUACUUUCCCGCCUACGCACUCUUUACGCCCAGUGAUUCCGAGUAACGCUUGCACCCUCCGUAUUACCGCGGCUGCUGGCACGGAGUUAGCCGGUGCUUAUUCGUUAGAUACCGUCAUAAUCUUCUCUAACAAAAGGAGUUUACAAUCCUAAAACCUUCAUCCUCCACGCGGCGUUGCUGCUUCAGGCUUUCGCCCAUUGAGCAAUAUUCCCUACUGCUGCCUCCCGUAGGAGUCUGGACCGUGUCUCAGUUCCAGUGUGUCCGAUCACCCUCUCAGGCCGGAUACCCGUCAUAGCCUUGGUGAGCCUUUACAA
RNAcentral lists this ribosomal RNA (392 nucleotides) under uncultured Helicobacter sp. Its description in RNAcentral is "partial 16S ribosomal RNA". Lineage: Bacteria; Pseudomonadati; Campylobacterota; Epsilonproteobacteria; Campylobacterales; Helicobacteraceae. The record is from RNAcentral.